GACGAACGCUGGCGGCGUGCCUAAUACAUGCAAGUAGAACGCACAGUUUAUACCGUAGCUUGCUCCACCAUAAACUGUGAGUUGCGAACGGGUGAGUAACGCGUAGGUAACCUGCCUGGUAGCGGGGGAUAACUAUUGGAAACGAUAGCUAAUACAGCAUAAUAUUAAUUAUUGCAUGAUAAUUGAUUGAAAGAUGCAAUUGCAUCACUACCCUAUGGCCCUGCGUUGUAUUAGCUAGUAGGUGAGGUAACGGCUCACCUAGGCUACGAUACAUAGCCGACCUCCAAGGGUACUCGGCCACACUGGGCCUGGGACAUGGCCCAGACUCCUACGGCAGGCAGAAGUAGGGAAUCUUCGGCAAUGGACGAAAGUCGGACCGUGCAACGCCGCGUGAGUGAAGAAUGUUGUCGUAUCGUAAAGCUCUGUUGGGCGAGAAGAACGGAUGUGAGAGUGGAAAGUGCACACUGUGACGGUAUCUUACCAGAAAGGUACGGCUAACUACGUG
RNAcentral lists this ribosomal RNA (505 nucleotides) under uncultured bacterium. RNAcentral's name for it is "partial 16S ribosomal RNA". It matches the Rfam family "Bacterial small subunit ribosomal RNA", at positions 28 to 507 of the family's 1533-position model. The record is from RNAcentral.